GGUGGAUACUGCUGCUGGGGCCAUCUAACUGGAACACGCUCACGAAAGCAUCACGAUGAAGAAUUUGAGUUUCAUCAAAGCUGACUGAGUUAGGCCAUGAUGAUUACUUCAAAAUGUCCUGGAGAAUUUAUCUGCCUCCCCCUACAAUGAACUGUGGUAGCAUUUGCCAAAAGAAGAUUCACCUAUUCCAGCCAGCAGAGACUUCAGACAUCAUUCACAGUAUGAUCACCCACUCCUCACCCACAGACACACGAGUGCAUGCCCAGCACAGGUUAACAGUGAGAGCUGAUACUCAGCACAAACUACAUCAUAUCUCAACCUCCCAACCAAAACAGAAGCAUGCCUUCAAUUUUGGCA
Fukomys damarensis (Damara mole-rat) is the source of this 357-nucleotide long non-coding RNA. RefSeq lists it as uncharacterized. The record is from RefSeq and is a predicted model, not a curated record. Lineage: Eukaryota; Metazoa; Chordata; Mammalia; Rodentia; Bathyergidae. The transcript is spliced from 3 exons.